RNAcentral lists this ribosomal RNA (464 nucleotides) under uncultured bacterium. Its description in RNAcentral is "bacterial SSU rRNA". It matches the Rfam family "Bacterial small subunit ribosomal RNA", at positions 330 to 792 of the family's 1533-position model. The record is from RNAcentral.
GCCAGACUCCUACGGGAGGCAGCAGGGAGGAAUAUUGGUCAAUGGCCACAGGGCUGAACCAGCCAAGUCGCGUGAGGGAUGACGGUCCUAUGGAUUGUAAACCUCUUUUGUCAGGGAGCAAAGGGCGCCACGUGUUGCGUUUUGCGAGUACCUGAAGAAAAAGCAUCGGCUAACUCCGUGCCAGCAGCCGCGGUAAUACGGAGUAUGCGAGCGUUAUCCGGAUUUAUUGGGUUUAAAGGGUGCGCAGGCGGAAUGCCAAGUCAGCGGUAAAAUUUCGGGGCUCAACCCCGUCGUGCCGUUGAAACUGGCGUUCUUGAGUGAGCGAGAAGUAUGCGGAAUGCGUGGUGUAGCGGUGAAAUGCAUAGAUAUCACGCAGAACUCCGAUUGCGAAGGCAGCAUACCGGCGCUCAACUGACGCUCAUGCACGAAAGCGUGGGUAUCGAACAGGAUUAGAUACCCCAGUA